This is a long non-coding RNA of Lactuca sativa (garden lettuce), 1596 nucleotides long. RefSeq lists it as uncharacterized. Lineage: Eukaryota; Viridiplantae; Streptophyta; Magnoliopsida; Asterales; Asteraceae. The record is from RefSeq and is a predicted model, not a curated record.
GACCCUCCUACCAUCCCGUCGACGACCCUCCUACCAUGUCACCCUUUCUUCUGUCUUAUAAUAUUUUGCUUGUUUAUCUUUUUCACCAUUUAUAUAACCCUCCCCCUUCUCUCAACCAUCUAUCCUUCUCUCUAACUCUAAUUAGCCAUCUGGCCACUCCUCACCAACUCCAUGAACUCACUCCAUACCAUGAGCACACACCUCGCACCACUCAACUCGCCAUUAGAUCCAACUGAAACCUAACCUCCGUGUCUCUCUCUAGCGUUCACCACAAUGAUUCGGCCUCACAAGACCGAGGGAGAAGAAAACAAUGCCACCAUUUCCAACAUGAACAUUAACGCUUUUAGUUUUUUAUUUGCAUAUGGACACAUUUUAUGUAUCGGUGUUUUGCAGGAACAUAAAUAUAUGUGACCCUGUUUUUCAUUUACCGGAUGUUGUCUAUAGAUAUGGUAUGUCAAUAAAAAUAGGAAUGAUUUUCUAUUCAAUUUUAGAUCUUUCCAACUAUAACUUGAAUCGGGGCAGGAAAGGUAGAAUAGUCGCAGUAGUACACCCAUCCCCUUUUGUGGUUUCUAAUAACAUUUCUUUUCGUAGGCGAUAUUCCAAAGAUGAAGGGAUAUAAAAUUGUAUAUGGUUGAUGAGUCUUAAUUCAAGAUAACGACAUUAAGAAAUUUAGGUUAGUUACUUCGAUAUUUGUUUAAUUGAUGUCAUUUAAUCAUAGAUUGUGGAGAGAAUGAGAAAAAAUGUUGGGAUUCGUCACUGUUUUGGGCUCUAAGGUGUCCAUGAUCAUUUAUUUCAAUCGAAUUGGUUAAUCUACACCCACCUCUUACCCUGGUAUAAUUUCCUUUUCCUUUUCCUAUUUGUUUGAUUUGUCCAGAUAGGUAUGAAGAACCUUUAUUUGUCAUUUAAGUUGUUAGUGCAUAGACAUGUAUCAUUCAGAUUUGGAAAUCCCUAAUGUUUUGUAUUUUACUAUGUUUUGCAUUUUUGUUUUCCUUUGUGAUGUUAUGAUAGUUCCUAAAAUAGGAGGGAAGAAACACCAUCAUUUCAAAAAAGGGGUAUAAAAAUGCCACUCAUUAAGGGAUUCGUUUAGUAAGAAUUAAUAGAGAAUGUGAAGACGUUUGAACAUCUUAAUAGAUAGAUACAUUUUUUAAUGUGUAUUAUUUUCUUGCAGGUGAAAGUUCAAACUUCUAACUAAAGAUCCUUUCCAGAUGCUUUCUCUUGAUACCCUCCAAGAUGGUAUAAAUAACCAUGGUAUCAUCAUUUUUGGAUCUUGAUAGAUCCCCUUGACGAAAUUUGUUAAACUUUAGCAAGAGACAGAAGGCGACACUACAGGAGAUAAAAGAGCAUAGGGGAUUCAUGAGUCUUUUAACCAAAAAAUGUCAGGGGUCAUCAUCUUUCUCUUUUAAUACAAGAAUAUUGUGAUUUCUUCGAUUUAUUUAUCCUUUGUUUAGAUCAAUUGUAAGAAAUACAAAAGUAUUUUCUUGAACUUUGUUGAUACAAAGAGUAACCGGAAGCAAGACAAUGUACAUUUGUUUUUCUACCUGAAAAUGUAUUAUCAUUUUUUAUUUGAUACAAUGAUUUGAAAAUAUAUUAUCAUGA